CCGUUUCAUUUUAAAGGACCGAUCCGACUUUUAAACAACUAGAGCAAGCAGUACAGUACACAUACAGACUAUUUAAGGCUAACCGGGACAGUACACACUGUGAAUUAAGGGUUGGAAGCUCUCACACAAAAAUCGAUAAAAUACUGCCAGUUACUUUUUUAAAACUUAAGCUAGACACAAGUGCUUUAUAGUUCUAAAGUGUACAUGUUUAGUGCUAUAAAAUGCAUAAGUAAGUUAGAGCGGUAAAAUGAACCAACUCCUAUGGGGAGAUUCUAAUGCUGUACUUCAUAAAUUAGAUGUGCGAAUCAAUGCCGCAUUAUAUCUCAAGAAGACAAUAUAUGUCAUAUUUUUCUUUUAUGAAAGUUUCUAUGGCAUUUAAAGACGACAUAAAAAUGAAAAUGUCGUUGUUUCGGACAUUUGUUCUGAUGCCUUCCAUUUUCACAUUUGUUCUCGCAUUCUUUACAGUACAGGUCCUGAAAUACAAGACGAGUGCAAACAUACGCAAAAUAGAAAUAGAGGAGAUAGAGACUUUGAACAGAGUUCUUCAGUGUGAUAAAAAUAGACAGGCUGAGAGUACUGCACAGCUUGAGGUAGGAGUAAGGUUUGAGGAAAUAAAUAAAUCCCUGGAAACCUGGAAAACACUUCUCAAGGAUUGCUCAGUCAAACUUCAACAAGGAUAGAUAAAAACUCAUAAACACCUAUACUGCUUGGCCUCAAGUUUUUUAUAGAACAAGCCUGUAUCUAUAUCUAAACAGUGGUAAUCUCUUUUGUGUGUUUAACUCAUGAACCAUGGUAGAUGUUCCUCUUUGACAAAUU
Eurytemora carolleeae is the source of this 816-nucleotide long non-coding RNA. RefSeq lists it as uncharacterized. Lineage: Eukaryota; Metazoa; Arthropoda; Copepoda; Calanoida; Temoridae. The record is from RefSeq and is a predicted model, not a curated record. The transcript has 4 exons.